RNAcentral lists this ribosomal RNA (200 nucleotides) under uncultured organism. RNAcentral describes it as "partial small subunit ribosomal RNA". It matches the Rfam family "Bacterial small subunit ribosomal RNA", at positions 1182 to 1382 of the family's 1533-position model. The record is from RNAcentral.
ACGUCAAGUCAUCAUGCCCCUUAUGUCCAGGGCUUCACACAUGCUACAAUGGCGGUGACAAUGGGCAGCGAAAGGGCGACCUGGAGCUAAUCCCCAAAAGCCGUCUCAGUUCAGAUUGCACUCUGCAACUCGAGUGCAUGAAGGCGGAAUCGCUAGUAAUCGCAGAUCAGCAUGCUGCGGUGAAUACGUUCCCGGGCCUU